AUCCCAGGGCUAAAGUGCUUGCAGUGCAGGUAGCUGGCGCUGGCGCUACUGCAGUGUGGGGGCUUGCAGCUCUGGGGA
Molecule: microRNA precursor, 78 nt
Filed under: Alligator mississippiensis (American alligator)
Lineage: Eukaryota; Metazoa; Chordata; Crocodylia; Alligatoridae
Also listed under: 1 other name
Description: microRNA ami-mir-106 precursor
Gene: ami-mir-106
Rfam family: mir-17 microRNA precursor family
About the family: This family represents the microRNA (miRNA) precursor mir-17, family, which includes mir-20, mir-91, and mir-103. miRNAs are transcribed as ~70nt precursors (modelled here) and subsequently processed by the Dicer enzyme to give a ~22nt product. In this case the mature sequence comes from the 3' arm of the precursor.
Source: miRBase by way of RNAcentral